AGGUGAGCAUGCGUGUAAUAGUAGGUAGAAGCGGCAGGGGGUGUGUUUCGACUUAGGAGGAGCUCACGAUAUUCAUCGUGGAGAAGAGUGUGGAAGAAGGGAUAGGUAGAAUGGCUAGCUUCUUGGUUAGCAGCUCGCUGUAGUUACCGAAGAGACAGCUACUCGCGCCCCACCUGCGGCUUCGUCUUGUUCGACAAACUCUUCCGCAACCGCCACGUGCUGUCCCUGUGUGGGCUGGCGACCGUGUUGUAGCGGGCACGACAGCCCCCGCCGUUCAGUCGCCUGCUACAGUCCGCGAUGAUGCUCGACGAGCAGGUGCUGUAGCGGGCCUAGCUCCGGUCGUUCCACGGAAAGGGGCGGAUGGCAGGUGGUACGGGGCCGAGGCCGGUGUUGCCGUCGAUGCUCCGGCUGUCCAACUUCGUGAACUUCUAGAUCGAUCCGCCAUUAGACCAUUACCCGUUCCCUACUAUGUGUGAUGUGUCUACCUGACUUGCUUCUUCGUACACGCACGUACCCCCAUGGAACAUUAUGAGUAUUCUCACACCUACCACAGGUACUGAGGUACAGUUACAUAUGUACGUGCUGAUCGCCCGUCUUUUCAGCCGGCCAAUACGUCUACGUACGUACAAGUAUUAUGAGAUCACCUAUCACCAGAUAUUCAUACAUGCACUCUAGCUGAACAGAGGAAUGAGUGUACCCAAAUUGAAUAGAGCAUACAUAAGAUUACAUGUUAUAAUUAUAAUAGGAAUAUAAUAACAGACGUGUACAUUGGUAUACAGGU
Molecule: ribosomal RNA, 781 nt
Filed under: Triticum aestivum (bread wheat)
Lineage: Eukaryota; Viridiplantae; Streptophyta; Magnoliopsida; Poales; Poaceae
Description: partial small subunit ribosomal RNA
Source: RNAcentral